CCGACUUGCCACGACUGGAUAGCCGAGAUGAUUUGAUGCCGCGAGAGCUCGGCUUAGGAUCUCGAGAGGAAGCCUUGGCAGGAGGUCGGCUAACUUUCUUGGAAGAAGCAACUUGAGCCACCUCUGCAGCAACCUCAGGCACCGAACGCCCAGCCCGAAGGGCAUCGAAAAUGGCAUGCAUAUUAUCCCGAGACAGGACUAAGUUCUUCGGAUACCUGAUCUCUUCCAUUUUAACGUCAGAAGCUGCAAAAACACGAAACUACAAAGAAUUAACGCAUUUUAUGAUAUCAUUUACAAAGAAGAAACAGAAUCGCUGGACAAGGCACUAUACCCGUGUCCCGGAUAUCCCUAAGAUUAGACACGAACAUACACUUCUCGACGUCAUACUUCCUCUCAACAGAAGUCAAUCGAAGCAAC
This 417-nucleotide long non-coding RNA is filed under the name Manihot esculenta (cassava). RNAcentral's name for it is "long non-coding RNA (MESC_LNC011935)". The record is from RNAcentral. Lineage: Eukaryota; Viridiplantae; Streptophyta; Magnoliopsida; Malpighiales; Euphorbiaceae.